CCAAAAAAUUAAUAAAUAAAUAAAAUAAAGGCUGGGUGGAAUGCAUUAGUAUCACUACAAAUCUGAAUCUGUGAGAGACUAAUAUCAAUAUCAUUGGGAAACAUAAACCGUAGACUUAAAUGAUAAUGAGCCUAAAAAUAAUAUUUCAGUGUGCUAAUGACUCAUAAGCAAAGCAUUUUACAACAGAGUCAUUAGGGUUUAAGAAGAUGCCCCCAGUUUUCUGUGCCCUGAUGAUGUGGGCCCAAGAGUGGCACUAGGGGACUUUCCAACUUGGGGUGCCUCGGAGGGGCAGAGAGAAAGGUCAGUGGAGGGCCCUAGGCUUAGCUUGGUGGCAGCUGCUUGGGUUUAUGGUUCUGGAGUUGCAGCUAAAUGAAAGGAAAUAGGUGGUGCUUUCAGCUACGAGAAACAGAAACUCUGACUCAGCUGGGUCUAAAAUGAAGCAGAAGCGAUCACCUCACACACCAGGAAACAGGAAGCCAGGGUAGGUGUGGCCAGUGAGUAAAUGAUUCAGGGUUUAACAAUGGCAGUAGACUGCAACUCUUUCUCUUCCUCGCCUGCUGCCCAUAGCAGGAGCUUCAGCUGCAACAGAGGAGCCAAAGGCAGCAACCAGGUGGUGUCUGUAUUCACAUCAGCUGUCCAAGGGACACAGCUCAGCCAUGGGGUGCAAAGCUCUGUAGUCCGCUGAAGAGAGAAAAGAGCCAAACAAAGAUGAACCAGAGUCUCUGCUAACCAAGAAAGUGCCUCAGAGUCCCCAAAGGAUAGGACUUGGUGCCCAAGUUGGAUUUGGACCUCAAGAUGGUGCACAGUACUUGAAAAGUACUGUCGAAUGGAUGAAUACAUCGUCCAGACUGGAGACCUUUGGGAUUCCUAAGCUUGUUGUCCUCACCCCACCUGUUGGAGGCAAGACUGCUGUGAGAAGUGACCAAAUCGGGAAUCCCUUUUCGUGCUGUUGAAGUGCACAGCAUUUUGUCCUCAUCUGGGUCCUGUCCUGCCCCUCUCACUGUCAUCCAGGCGUUUGGUAGAGGUCUCAGGAUUGCUGCCCUGGAGACAGGAUGACAGGCCAUCCUAUGGUGGUGUUUGCAGGGUGCUGCAGUGUGGGGGCAGUGGAGGGGCACUGCUGUGUGGAGCUCCCGAGACUGAGAUCCAGAGCUGCAGGUGCUGACAAGACAGGGCUGGCUUAAGGGGGGCAGGGUUAGUGCAGUGAAAUACACGUGAUGUGUCACAGUGUGCAGUUCUGUGGCAUUGAGUACAUUCAUACUGUGCAGCUGUCACCACCAUCCAUCUCUGAAGUAUUUCCAUCCCCCCAAACUGAGACUGCACAUAGGAUUCCUCCCCACCUCACCCCUCCUCAGCCCCUGGACCCACUGUCCUCUUUCCACCCUCCAGGGAUCUCAUAUAAGUGGACUCACAUAGUGCUUGCCCUUUUUCAGCUGGCUUAUUUCACUGCAUAAUGUCCCCAAGGUCUGUCCAAAUUGUCACAUGUGUUGGAAUUUCCUCUCUUCUUCAGGCUGAAUAAUACACCAUUGUAUGGAUAUACUAAAGGGAUGAUAGUUUGAUAUCCAAAUCCUACUUGAAAAUUUGUAAAACAUAUGUCUGGCAAUUUUUUGUUUAUUUUCUCAAUAGUCUCUACUGAUCUUGAAUCUGGUCCCAGUUGAAAAUAAAUAAAGAUAUAACAAAAUAUUAGAGAAUGACACUUCAUAUUUCCAGUGUUGGAAGAGAUGUAGGAGAGCACAUGGGAACAUUGUCUCCUCAGCCAUCAUGCCAGUCUGAGGGGUCUUCUCAUCUCCUGUUUCCACGUCAAGAGCAGGGUCAGACCCUGAGCUGGUGUCUACCUAAACAAUGCCUCCAUCAGGAGAGCAAAAGGAUCCAUUAAUGUGAUUUGGAAUGGACACAUUUAAAGCAAAAAGCACAUUUUUCUCUCUAACUCUCACUCAACACGCUUCUGACCCCUAUAAUUUAAUUCUGAUAGUAUCCGGCUGGAGACAGUGUCAGACCUUCCAGGCUGAGGGCUCAGUCCCACAAGACUGCCCUGCAUGUCAGAUGCCACUUGCAGCCGCAGGUUGUGACUGGAACUUCUGACCUAUUGGCCAUAAGUUGGGCUUCUCCUGACUUCUUCAGGUUUCAUGAAUUUGCUAGAGUGGCUUAGAGAACUCAGGGAAACACAUUUACCAGUUUAUUAUAAAGGAUACUACCAAGGAUUCAGAUGAAGAGAUCCAGAGGUUGAGGUAUGGGGAAGGGGUGCAGAACUUCCAUGAAAUCUCUUCAUAACCCUAGACAAUCUUGUCACUUAUCUCUGACAUUUUCUUUGGCCCCACACAGAAUUCCAAGGAGAAUCAUUCAGAGUUCACUGGUCUCUUCUGCUGCCCAGUGGGUCUUGUUCUGGACCAACACUAUAUACAGUCUGCUGCUGUCCACUCAUGCUGAGGGCAGAGCUGUCAUGACCCGUGCAGCACUAACCUGGAAUUAGCUUCAGAGAUCUGCAAGUGGAGUAGCCUGUGAUAUCUUCCGGGGGCAGCACUUGAUUCAUUAGCUGUGAUGCUUGUCAGGUCGUGGCCAGAUGCACCUAGCUUGCGGGCAGUGUGAGGACUGAGUUAGUGUAUGGAUGUGCCCAGCAGGUGGCUGAGGCGAGGGUGGGGAUGGAGUUCUCGUUGGCUCAGUUUACCCUUGUGUACAUGGACCAGCCUGGUGCUCUUGCCAUCUCUUUGGCAGAGCUCUGUAGAGGUGACCUUUCCUCAGUGUGCCCGUGGUGGCCUCAGAACACACAUAUCCCAGAGGCACCCAGCCAGGCCACACAGGGGUGAUGGAGAGAGUCAGCCCUUCUUCCCAAGCCCAAGGUGGCCCUGGAGUUGGACAGCAGAGCAGAUGAAGCUGUGAUUAAGGAACUCCAGAGAAAAGUAGCCUGACAUGGACUCCUGGUCCCAUCUCUGGAGAGUUGCAGAGGGUGGGGGACACGGACCUACGUUUGGACUGAGGCCUCAGGAUCUCUUCUAGCUCAGAGCUGAGAAGCAGUUUUAGGAAUGAUGAGACCACUUAGGGCAACACAGCAGCACUGGCAAGUCAAUACAGGGCUGCCCUGAAGAGUGAGUCCCUUGGGGAGGGUUUACACUUGGCCCCCUGACUCAGGCUUGGCUCUGAAGUGUCAGGAAGCUCUUUUGGGAUUCCUUCCAAAAUUUGUUUAUUUUGGCUGUGUGGUCUGGACAACAUGUCUUAGGUAUAAAAAAUGACUCUUAUUUCACACCACCAUUCUCCGCAGUGUCUGCUUUAAACUCCGAAAUGAGAGUUUUCUUCUACAAACAGGCAAAAUUGCCUGGAACUUUUUGGGUAUAUACAGUGAAAAACAAUGCUGGGUAAUAUAAUUUUUGGUGAAAGCCCAGAAACAAGACUGGCAGCUCACAAACUAGCCCUGAGGGCAAGUCCAACGGGGGACCCCAGAAACAUUUGUAUUAGGUGGGUUGGGGUUGGGGGGCCGCAUCUGAGAUCACACCAGCUGCCACUGCUGAUGGUGGGAUUUGAAUUUACAAAGCACACUGAUUCUGGCUGAGGAGCCUCUUCCAACACGGCCCAGGAUUUCCUACUGCAGAAAUGAUGCUCUUUUCUGAGAUUUCCCUGUUGUCACUGUGCAGCCAGUGACCCUCCCAGUGCUGGUGUGGAACAGGUCUGUCUUGGAGCCUGGAAGCUUUCCAAGGCCAGACAAUAGCUCCUUCACCCAGGAUCCUCGAAACUGGGCUCAGAUUACUCCCUGUCCUGAUACCAGGAAAUUUAUUUUUAGAUCAGAGAGAGUGUAGGGAGGAGGAGGUUGGA
This is a non-coding RNA of Heterocephalus glaber (naked mole-rat), 3801 nucleotides long. Lineage: Eukaryota; Metazoa; Chordata; Mammalia; Rodentia; Bathyergidae. The record is from RefSeq and is a predicted model, not a curated record.